RNAcentral lists this ribosomal RNA (420 nucleotides) under Triticum aestivum (bread wheat). Its description in RNAcentral is "partial small subunit ribosomal RNA". Lineage: Eukaryota; Viridiplantae; Streptophyta; Magnoliopsida; Poales; Poaceae. The record is from RNAcentral.
AUGCUAGAUGUUCAAACGCUCCUGGAACUUGCUAGACGCAACAAACAAGCGGGAUCAAAAGGAAGGAGGAAUGUUGCAGCUCCACCCUACUGCUGCGACCAGGACCUCGACCAGGCUUACUAUUUCAACCAAGUCUAUGUUAACCAACACUACUACCUCGACGCUUCCUGCGACCAAGUGAAAACCAGCAACGACUACUUCCUUGAGCAAGUCGGCUUCAUCUGCUACCCCAACCUCGCCAGGCUUCGCCUCAACUACGGCACCCACCGCAACCUCGGCGAAGUCAUGAAGCAUCAAGUACCAUGGGAUCCAGGAGGUUCGCCAUGGCAUCAGCUUGAGGUCAAGCUGAAUUUUAAGGAGUGGGGAAUGUUAGUGAACCCUACUAGUGUGCUGGGCUGGGCCAUAUGCUGCUCGGCUUGA